CUGCUAUCGGGGUUCGAUUAAGCCAUGCGAGUCGAGAGGUGAAAGACCUCGGCGUACUGCUCAGUAACACGUGGACAACCUACCCUAAGGUGGGGGAUAACCCCGGGAAACUGGGGAUAAUACCCCAUAGGCUAGAGAAGCUGGAAUGCUCUCAAGUUCAAAGGUCCGCCGCCUUAGGAUGGGUCUGCGGUCGAUUAGGUUGUUGUUGGGGUAACGGCCCAACAAGCCCGUGAUCGAUACGGGUUGUGAGAGCAAGAGCCCGGAGAUGGAUUCUGAGACACGAAUCCAGGCCCUACGGGGCGCAGCAGGCGCGAAAACUUUACAAUGCGGGAAACCGUGAUAAGGGAACCCCGAGUGCCCGUAAAUUCGGGCUGUCCAUCAGCGUAAAUAACUGGUGAAGAAAGGGCCGGGCAAGACCGGUGCCAGCCGCCGCGGUAAUACCGGCGGCUCGAGUGGUGGCCACUAUUAUUGGGCUUAAAGCGUCCGUAGCUUGGUUGUUAAGUCUCUUGGGAAAUCUACCGGCUCAACCGGUAGGCGUUCAGGAGAUACUGGCAAUCUAGGGACCGGGAGAGGUGAGAGGUACUCCAGGGGUAGGAGUGAAAUCCUGUAAUCCUUGGGGGACCACCUGUGGCGAAGGCGUCUCACUAGAACGGCUCCGACAGUGAGGGACGAAAGCUGGGGGAGCAAACCGGAUUAGAUACCCGGGUAGUCCCAGCUGUAAACGAUGCGCGUUAGGUGUAUCGGUGACCACGAGUCACCGAGGUGCCGAAAGGRAAACCGUGAAACGUGCCGCCUGGGAAAGUACGGUCGCA
This 812-nucleotide ribosomal RNA is filed under the name uncultured archaeon. RNAcentral describes it as "bacterial SSU rRNA". It matches the Rfam family "Archaeal small subunit ribosomal RNA", at positions 27 to 845 of the family's 1478-position model. The record is from RNAcentral.